CUAAUCCAGGGAGGUAGUGACAAUAAAUAACAAUGAAGGGCUCUACGAGUCUUUCAAUUGGAAUGAGUACGAUUUAAAAACAGGUUCGAGGACCAAUUGGAGGGCAAGUCUGGUGCCAGCAGCCGCGGUAAUUCCAGCUCCAAUAGCGUAUAUUAAAGUUGUUGCAGUUAAAAAGCUCGUAGUUGGACCUCUGGUCGGAGCAACGAGGCCACUCCGCAAGGAGCGAGCGCUCUGUUGUCUCCGGCCAUCCUUGGGAAGAGCGGCCCUGGCAUUAGGUUGUCGGGGUCGGGAUUCCCAUCGUUUACUGUGAAAAAAUUAGAGUGUUCAAGGCAGGCUUAACGCCGUGAAUACAUUAGCAUGGAAUAAUGAGACAGGACCUUGGCGGUCUAUUUUGUUGGUUUGCACGCCAAGGUAAUGAUUAAUAGGGAUAGUUGGGGGUAUUCGUAUUCAAUUGUCAGAGGUGAAAUUCUUGGAUUUAUGGAAGACGAACUACUGCGAAAGCAUUUACCAAGGAUG
RNAcentral lists this ribosomal RNA (516 nucleotides) under uncultured raphidophyte. Its description in RNAcentral is "bacterial SSU rRNA". It matches the Rfam family "Eukaryotic small subunit ribosomal RNA", at positions 451 to 966 of the family's 1831-position model. Lineage: Eukaryota; Raphidophyceae. The record is from RNAcentral.